Anolis carolinensis (green anole) is the source of this 2403-nucleotide long non-coding RNA. RefSeq lists it as uncharacterized. The transcript is spliced from 2 exons. The record is from RefSeq and is a predicted model, not a curated record. NCBI's taxonomy places the organism in Eukaryota, Metazoa, Chordata, Lepidosauria, Squamata, Anolidae.
AAUGCACAAUUUCUAAUGUAUGCCAAGAUACACCUACUUGAGCCUCAAGAACCUCUUGGAAAACCCUAAAAGUAUCCUGAAAGUAGUAUAAGAUAGAAAGAUGGAUAGACAGAUGUUAGAUAGAAAAUAAAUAAGGACACUUUCCCAGAUGGAGUGUACCCUUGUUUCUCUUCUCCUUACAGCUGGGAGCAGCCACUUCUUUGUCACUUAUAGCAAGUCAUUCUCCUUCCUUUUAGCCACUAUAUAGCAGCAGCAGCAGCACCCUUUUCAUGACUUGACAGCUGUCUAGUGGGAAAGGUUUGGACAAGGUGGAAUGGACUUUUUCACUCUGCCCAAAAUAAAGUAUAUGCAUUCAUAUAUUACAAGCAACAGGAUUUCAGCAUCCAUGCCCACACACUACCAAACAAUAACCUUGAGAAGCCUUACUUUUCAUUUUAACUUUGGCCCACUCUGUCUGAACUAUUAAUACAUUUUGCAUUCAAGCAUGAAGCAUUUUAUAUGUCAGAUUGAGUCUCUGUUUGUCAAAGUAGUUGGGAUAUAAAUAAAAAUAAUCCUGCUCCUGCUCCUCUUCCUCCCCCCCCCCCAUCAACUCAAAUCAAGGUGUACAAUUCCUAAGGCUGAUAAAGUUGUUUUGGCAUCGGAGUUGAAAGUCCCACAAGCACCACUUAUCUGAGAAUAAACAUAUUAUGCAAUAAUACAGUAUAUUAGAUACUUAAUGCAUAUCUCUGUCUCCAGGCAUCUGGGGGCUGAAAGGGAGGUUGUCGGUGAGAGUUUGAAGAGAUUGUGUGUUAUGGUUGAGCCUUAUGGCUCCAAUACUGGGAGACGUGGUCGUAAGACUCCUCGAGAGUCAGACUCUCUUGAGGAGCGAGAGAGGAAACAGCUGCGGGACUUAUUUGCAGAACCAUCUGACGAAGACUCCUUUGAGGGUUUUACCGAGAGAAUGGAGGAAGAGGUGGUUAGCUCAGAGGAGGAUGACAUGGAAUGGACUCGUGUAAGGGAGGAUUUGGGUGUUCCUGGUAAUGAUGGCAUGGGAAGCGACUGGCGGGUUGCAGGAUCGGACCCGUGGACGAGUUGGAGGGAUGGGACGGGAUCCACAGCUGGGGAUGCUGUGGGGCGUAGUCAAAGAUGUUUCAGCUCUGAUGAGGAUGAGGAUGAUGAGGCACCUGGAAUUAGGGUAACAGCUGAUAGUGAUGAGGAGUUGUAACUGGCAUAAAAUGGGGUCUUGAAUCCAGGGCUAAUUGCGUUGGGCAAGGUAAUCUGGACGAACGCUUGGGCUCUUGUUGGGAAUUUCCUGAAGACGGGUGUGUUUCGUUUGCUGAAUACCUUGGACCUCCGUCGUCUUCUUGACGGACAUUGUUUACCUACUCUGGAUUGACGCUGGACUGACUGACUGACUACGACCUUGGACUAUCCUUUCUGUGGCUAUCGGUGGAAUUCGUGGAACCUUAGACGCCUGCACCUGGCUAUCGACCUCGGACCGGAUUGGGACCCCGCUGACCGCUGCAACCCUGAUUGAUGUGUUUGGACCCGGAGUUCGCCCGCUGCACGGAGGAGUAACAACUUAGUUACUCAACCACAGCUGCUGAGUAGCAGAGAGGAAUCUGCUGCCAGUAUUUAUGUUUUAUUGAAUCUUUGUUUACCAGCUUUUGUUUGUUAAAAGUGCCAGGCUGAAAUAAGCAUUUUUGGUUUAACCCGGAUUAAACUCCUGUUUAAUCCGGUUUAUCUUUUGAACCGUUUUUGAGUGACUUUUCAUAUUGAAGGCGAGUGUUUGCCUAGCCCUUUGUUUUUUACGAGCAUUUUUUGGUUCUGUAUCUUUAAUAAACUGUGUUGAAUCUUAUCUGGUGGCGUUCUGUCUGUGACAUUGUGAGUUUUAAAUAUAAUUUUAAUUGUAUUGAUUGGAUUUUAAACUGUAUUUUAACUUCAGAUCUAUAACACAAAUAUCCAAAUGUUGUUUUUUGCAUUUGCCUUGUUUUAAAUUUUUAUUGAAUUGUGUCAUGUUAUUGUUAGCCAUCCUGAGUUCCUAUGGGGAGAAAAGUGGGACAGAAAUAAAGAUGAUGAUGGUAAUGAUAAUUUCUCCCUUCCAUAACACUUAGCAUUAAUUGUGCUGGUUGGUACUUCUGGGCCCAAAUUCCUAAACACCUGGAAGCUCAAAAGUCUGCCAACCCUGGCUUGACCUGAAGACAUUCUCAACUUAUUCCCCAAGACUGUUAUUUAUACAGAAACUAAAAUGACCAAGCUACACUGCUUAGUACUUGGAUGGGAGACAACCAAUGAAUACCAGAUGUUGUGGGCUUUAUUUUGGAGGAAGAAAAUGGCAGAACCACCUCAGAUUAUUCCUUGCCUAAGAAAACUCUAUGAAAAUCAUAGCGGUCAUUAUAAAUAAAUAGUUGACUUUGAAACAUA